GUCUACGGCCAUGCCACCCUGAACAAGCCCAAUCCCAUCUGAUCUUGCUUGGAAGCUUAGCAGGGUUGGGCCUGGUUAGUCCUUGGAUGGAGGACCACCUAGGAAGACCAGGUGCUGUGGGCA
RNAcentral lists this ribosomal RNA (123 nucleotides) under Pteropus alecto (black flying fox). The record is from RNAcentral. Lineage: Eukaryota; Metazoa; Chordata; Mammalia; Chiroptera; Pteropodidae.